This 235-nucleotide ribosomal RNA is filed under the name uncultured bacterium. RNAcentral's name for it is "partial 16S ribosomal RNA". It matches the Rfam family "Bacterial small subunit ribosomal RNA", at positions 96 to 334 of the family's 1533-position model. The record is from RNAcentral.
UGGCGGGCGGGUGAGUAAUGUCUGGGAAACUGCCCGAUGGAGGGGGAUAACUACUGGAAACGGUAGCUAAUACCGCAUAACGUCGCAAGACCAAAGAGGGGGACCUUCGGGCCUCUUGCCAUCGGAUGUGCCCAGAUGGGAUUAGCUAGUAGGUGGGGUAACGGCUCACCUAGGCGACGAUCCCUAGCUGGUCUGAGAGGAUGACCAGCCACACUGGAACUGAGACACGGUCCAG